RNAcentral lists this ribosomal RNA (301 nucleotides) under uncultured bacterium. Its description in RNAcentral is "partial 16S ribosomal RNA". It matches the Rfam family "Bacterial small subunit ribosomal RNA", at positions 509 to 808 of the family's 1533-position model. The record is from RNAcentral.
CAGCCGCCACGGGAAUACGAAGGGUGCAAGCGUUAAUCGGAAUUACUGGGCGUAAAGCGUGCGCAGGCGGUUCGUUAAGACAGAUGUGAAAUCCCCGGGCUUAACCUGGGAACUGCAUUUGUGACUGGCGAGCUAGAGUACGGCAGAGGGGGGUAGAAUUCCACGUGUAGCAGUGAAAUGCGUAGAGAUGUGGAGGAAUACCGAUGGCGAAGGCAGCCCCCUGGGCCAAUACUGACGCUCAUGCACGAAAGCGUGGGGAGCAAACAGGAUUAGAUACCCGCGUAGUCCCUGUCUCUUAACC